RNAcentral lists this ribosomal RNA (406 nucleotides) under uncultured bacterium. RNAcentral describes it as "partial 16S ribosomal RNA". It matches the Rfam family "Bacterial small subunit ribosomal RNA", at positions 30 to 526 of the family's 1533-position model. The record is from RNAcentral.
AUUGAACGCUGGCGGCAGGCCUAACACAUGCAAGUCGAACGAGUAGCGGACGGGUGAGGAAUGGCUGGGAAAAUGCCCGAAGGAUGGGGAUAACUACGGGAAACGGUAUCUAAUACCGCAUACAAUCCGAUGUGCCGAGAUGGGGGUAGCUUGUAGGUGAGGUAACGGCUCACCUAGUGGACGAUCGCUAGCUGGUCUGAGAGGAUGAUCAGCCACACUGGAACUGAGACACGGUCCAGACUCCUACGGGAGGCAGCAGUGGGGAAUAUUGCACAAUGGGCGCAAGCCUGAUGCAGCCAUGCCGCGUGUAUGAAGAAGGCCUUCGGGUUGUAAAGUACUUUCAUCGGGGAGGCGUUACCCGCAGAAGAAGCACCGGCUAACUCCGUGCCAGCAGCCGCGGUAAUUC